RNAcentral lists this transfer RNA (70 nucleotides) under Tolypothrix sp. PCC 7601. Its description in RNAcentral is "tRNA-Ala". The stretch from base 7 to 60 matches the Rfam family "tRNA", at positions 8 to 63 of the family's 71-position model. From Rfam's summary of the family: Transfer RNA (tRNA) molecules are approximately 80 nucleotides in length. Their secondary structure includes four short double-helical elements and three loops (D, anti-codon, and T loops). Lineage: Bacteria; Bacillati; Cyanobacteriota; Cyanophyceae; Nostocales; Tolypothrichaceae. The record is from RNAcentral.
GGGUCAUAGCUCAACUGGCUAGAGCAUCCGCCUUGCAAGCGGAAGGUUAGGGGUACCCUUCGGGAAGCCG